Molecule: non-coding RNA, 318 nt
Organism: Vicia faba (fava bean)
Lineage: Eukaryota; Viridiplantae; Streptophyta; Magnoliopsida; Fabales; Fabaceae
Source: the annotation of a GenBank genome assembly
AUGCUUGUGCCACUAAUUUGUGGUGCACACUGGAAUUUGAUACGCAUGACGUAUUAUCAUUUCUUUGAGAUUGUAUUUUAUAUUAAUUGCAUGAAUUGUACUUUGUGUAGGUACUCUAUUACUAUACGGAUGUGUCUGAUACACAUUUUGUGUAAUCUUGUAUUUCAUAUUACUUGCAUGAAUUGUAUUUUAUGCAGGUACUCCGUUUUUCUAUACGGAUGUGUCUGGUACAUAUUCCAUAUUAUUUCAUUAUUCUAUAUUACUUGCGUGAAUUGUGUUUUGUGCAGGUACUCUGUUUGGUUACACGGAAAUGUCUGA